This is a long non-coding RNA of Zingiber officinale, 912 nucleotides long. RefSeq lists it as uncharacterized. NCBI's taxonomy places the organism in Eukaryota, Viridiplantae, Streptophyta, Magnoliopsida, Zingiberales, Zingiberaceae. The record is from RefSeq and is a predicted model, not a curated record. The transcript has 4 exons.
CACCGCCGAAUUCCUUCCCUUCUCUUCUCACGAAGCCACCCUCUCCUCCUUCGUCGAACCCUUUCCCCAAAUCCAUCGGCCAGUUUCUUCCUUCUCCCUCUCGUGAGUUCCCGCACCCCAGCCGCCGAUCUCGCUCCCUCACUCGAGCACCACAACCGCCGUCAUCUCCUCCUCACGCGAGCACCAUAGCCGUCGGCCUCGCUCCCUCGCACGAGCACCAUAGACGUCGCUGGCCUCUCCUCCUCACGUGAGCACUAGAGACGCCGCACCACCACCGGUACAACGAGCUAGCGGCCAACACGACUCCUUUCCAUCACAUUCUGUCGUGCCCUAAUAUCGAGUUCCUUGGCGAUUUCCUCCUUCGUCAGUCACUAGGUUUCGUUGAGGUGGGUUCCAGCCAAAGAGGAAGCUGUGGACACCAAGAUUUGUGAAUUCACAGCGGCACCGACCCUAGACCUUCGGCAGGAGUUACCUCCGGUUUGUAAGUAUUCUCCAACAGCCACUGUUCCGGGCCGUGGGUUAAUAAGGGAGACCUCAUAGUAAGGGACUUUGACUUACGACGAGUCACUUGACAGGUGGAUAAGUUUGGACGCUCGACCUAUAUUAGAGGUAGCAGGUAGAUGAAUCAAGGAUGCAUGGAGAGUCCUGGUUGUCAGUCCCAUUACACAUUCGAGGACAGUUUUCCUUUCGGUCUUAUUACUGUUUGGAUGGUAUAUUAAUUUAAUGUAUUUGCUUUCUAAUAAGUUGAUGUGGGUUUGGAGUCUAGUCAGGUGGUUGCAGGUAUUUUAGUUAAUGACUUUGUUGGUCUUACAUUCAUAUUUUUGUUGUGAUGCCCACUAUGUUUACUUCCAGCCAUGUGGGUUGUUUAUAAACUGCGUGGUUGUGUGUAAAUAUAGCUGUGUGGGUUGAUGA